CAGAGGUUCGAAGGCGAUCAGAUACCGCCCUAGUUCUGACCGUAAACGAUGCCACCUGACGAUCCGCCAGGGUUACUACCAUGACUCGGCGGGCAGUCCCCGGGAAACCCAAGCCUUCGGGUUCCGGGGGAAGUAUGGUUGCAAAGCUGAAACUUAAAGGAAUUGACGGAAGGGCACCACCAGGAGUGGAGCCUGCGGCUUAAUUUGACUCAACACGGGGAACCUCACCCGGCCCGGACACCGCGAGGAUUGACAGAUUGAGAGCUCUUUCUCGAUUCGGUGGGUGGUGGUGCAUGGCCGUUCUUAGUUGGUGGAGCGAUUUGUCUGGUUAAUUCCGAUAACGAACGAGACUCUAGCCGGUUAAGUAGCCCGAGCGGUUUUUGAUAUUUGCCGUUCAUCCCCGUUCGACCUUU
RNAcentral lists this ribosomal RNA (413 nucleotides) under Peripatopsis capensis. RNAcentral's name for it is "SSU rRNA". It matches the Rfam family "Eukaryotic small subunit ribosomal RNA", at positions 991 to 1403 of the family's 1831-position model. The record is from RNAcentral. Lineage: Eukaryota; Metazoa; Onychophora; Udeonychophora; Euonychophora; Peripatopsidae.